Molecule: ribosomal RNA, 752 nt
Filed under: uncultured bacterium
Lineage: Bacteria
Description: bacterial SSU rRNA
Rfam family: Bacterial small subunit ribosomal RNA
Source: RNAcentral
AGAGUUUGAUCAUGGCUCAGAACGAACGCUGGCGGCAUGCCUAACACAUGCAAGUCGAACGGGAUCCAGACUUCGGUCUGGUGAGAGUGGCGGACGGGUGAGUAACGCGUGGGAACCUGCCCAAUGGUCUGGGAUAACCGCGGGAAACUGCGGCUAAUACCGGAUAAGCCCGAGAGGGGAAAGAUUUAUCGCCGAUGGAGGGGCCCGCGUCCGAUUAGGUAGUUGGUGAGGUAACGGCUCACCAAGCCUACGAUCGGUAGCUGGUCUGAGAGGAUGAUCAGCCACACUGGGACUGAGAUACGGCCCAGACUCCUACGGGAGGCAGCAGUGGGGAAUAUUGGACAAUGGGGGCAACCCUGAUCCAGCAAUGCCGCGUGAGUGAUGAAGGCCUUAGGGUUGUAAAGCUCUUUUACCGGGGACGAUGAUGACGGUACCCGGAGAAUAAGCCCCGGCUAACUUCGUGCCAGCAGCCGCGGUAAUACGAAGGGGGCGAGCGUUGUUCGGAAUUACUGGGCGUAAAGGGCGCGUAGGCGGCGAUCCGAGUCAGAUGUGAAAGUCCUGGGCUUAACCUGGGGACUGCAUUUGAUACUGGAUUGCUUGAAUUCGGGAGAGGAUAGCGGAAUUCCCAGUGUAGAGGUGAAAUUCGUAGAUAUUGGGAAGAACACCGGUGGCGAAGGCGGCUAUCUGGACCGACAUUGACGCUGAGGCGCGAAAGCGUGGGGAGCAAACAGGAUUAGAUACCCUAGUAGUCC